RNAcentral lists this ribosomal RNA (412 nucleotides) under uncultured bacterium. Its description in RNAcentral is "bacterial SSU rRNA". It matches the Rfam family "Bacterial small subunit ribosomal RNA", at positions 505 to 916 of the family's 1533-position model. The record is from RNAcentral.
GUGCCAGCCGCCGCGGUAAAACGUAGGUCCCGAGCGUUGUUCGGAUUUACUGGGCGUAAAGGGCUCAUAGGCGGCUUCUUAGGUCUCACGUGAAAUUCCCUGGCUCAACCGGGGAGGGUCGUGGGAAACCGGGAGGCUAGAGGGCAGGAGAGGAGAGUGGAAUUCCCGGUGUAGCGGUGAAAUGCGUAGAGAUCGGGAGGAACACCAGUGGUGAAGACGGCUCUCUGGACUGUCCCUGACACUGAGGAGCGAAAGCCAGGGGAGCAAACCGGAUUAGAUACCCGGGUAGUCCUGGCCGUAAACGAUGGGUACUAGGUGUGGGGGGUUCGACCCCCUCCGUGCCGCAGUUAACGCAUUAAGUAUCCCACCUGGGGAGUACGGCCGCAAGGUUGAAACUCAAAUAAAUUGACGG